GACGAACGCUGGCGGCGUGCCUAAUACAUGCAAGUAGAACGCUGAAGGAGGAGCUUGCUCUUCUGGAUGAGUUGCGAACGGGUGAGUAACGCGUAGGUAACCUGCCUGGUAGCGGGGGAUAACCAUUGGAAACGAUAGCUAAUACCGCAUAAGAGUAGAUGUCGCAUGACAUUUGCUUAAAAGGUGCAAUUGCAUCACUACCAGAUGGACCUGCGUUGUAUUAGCUAGUUGGUGAGGUAACGGCUCACCAAGGCAACGAUACAUAGCCGACCUGAGAGGGUGAUCGGCCACACUGGGACUGAGACACGGCCCAGACUCCUACGGGAGGCAGCAGUAGGGAAUCUUCGGCAAUGGACGGAAGUCUGACCGAGCAACGCCGCGUGAGUGAAGAAAGGGUUUUUCGGAUCGUAAAGCUUCUGUUGUAAAGAGAAAG
RNAcentral lists this ribosomal RNA (433 nucleotides) under Streptococcus sp. oral taxon 064. RNAcentral describes it as "bacterial SSU rRNA". It matches the Rfam family "Bacterial small subunit ribosomal RNA", at positions 28 to 450 of the family's 1533-position model. The record is from RNAcentral. Lineage: Bacteria; Bacillati; Bacillota; Bacilli; Lactobacillales; Streptococcaceae.